RNAcentral lists this ribosomal RNA (467 nucleotides) under uncultured bacterium. RNAcentral describes it as "partial 16S ribosomal RNA". It matches the Rfam family "Bacterial small subunit ribosomal RNA", at positions 28 to 507 of the family's 1533-position model. The record is from RNAcentral.
GACGAACGCUGGCGGCGUGCUUAACACAUGCGAGUCGAACGGAAAGGCCCUGCUUUUGUGGGGUGCUCGAGUGGCGAACGGGUGAGUAACACGUGAGUAACCUGCCCUUGACUUUGGGAUAACUUCAGGAAACUGGGGCUAAUACCGGAUAGGAGCUCCUGCUGCUGGUGGGGGUUGGAAAGUUUCGGCGGUUGGGGAUGGACUCGCGGCUUAUCAGCUUGUUGGUGGGGUAGUGGCUUACCAAGGCUUUGACGGGUAGCCGGCCUGAGAGGGUGACCGGCCACAUUGGAACUGAGAUACGGCCCAGACUCCUACGGGAGGCAGCAGUGGGGAAUAUUGCACAAUGGGCGGAAGCCUGAUGCAGCAACGCCGCGUGCGGGAUGACGGCCUUCGGGUUGUAAACCGCUUUCGCCUGUGACGAAGCGUGAGUGACGGUAAUGGGUAAAGAAGCACCGGCUAACUACGUG